Molecule: ribosomal RNA, 551 nt
Filed under: uncultured bacterium
Lineage: Bacteria
Description: partial 16S ribosomal RNA
Rfam family: Bacterial small subunit ribosomal RNA
Source: RNAcentral
UAGGGAAUCUUCCACAAUGGACGCAAGUCUGAUGGAGCAACGCCGCGUGAGUGAAGAAGGUUUUCGGACCGUAAAGCUCUGUUGUUGGUGAAGAAGGAUAGAGGUAGUAACUGGCCUUUAUUUGACGGUAAUCAACCAGAAAGUCACGGCUAACUACGUGCCAGCAGCCGCGGUAAUCGUAGGUGGCAAGCGUUGUCCGGAUUUAUUGGGCGUAAAGCGAGCGCAGGCGGAAGAAUAAGUCUGAUGUGAAAGCCCUCGGCUUAACCGAGGAAUUGCAUCGGAAACUGUUUUCUGAGUGCAGAAGAGGAGAGUAGAACUCCAUGUGUAGCGGUGGAAUGCGUAGAUAUAUGGAAGAAUACCAGUGGCGAAGGCGGCUCUCUGGUCUGCAACUGACGCUGAGGCUCGAAAGCAUGGGUAGCGAACAGGAUUAGAUACCCUUGGUAGUCCAUGCCGUAAACGAUGAGUGCUAAGUGUUGGGAGGCUUCCGCCUCUCAGUGCUGCAGCUAACGCAUUAAGCACUCCGCCUGGGGGAGUACGACCGCAAGGUUGAA